GAUCAAAUCAAGCGCGAGAAGGGCGUUUGGUGAAUGCCUUGGCAGCAAGAGGCGAUGAAGGACGUGAUACUCUGCGAUAAGUCAUGGGGAGCCGAGAAUAGGCUUUGAUCCAUGAAUCUCCGAAUGGGGCAACCCACCUGACAGUUCGAUAUAAUUACUUCGGUAUCUUAUAUCUUGCUGAAACAGGUACUUAUUACCUGAAUACAUAGGGUUUUAAGAGCAAACCCGGGGAACUGAAACAUCUAAGUACCCGGAGGAAAGGAAAUCAAUUGAUACUCCCCUAGUAGCGGCGAGCGAACGGGGACCAGCCGAGCCUUGAGAGUGAUCAGAAUAACCUGGAAAGGUUAGCCAUAGCGGGUGACAGCCCCGUAUGAGAAGCUCGAUGGGACGUAUUAAGUAGGGCGGGACACGUGAAAUCCUGUCUGAAGAUCGGAGGACCACCUUCGAAGGCUAAGUACUCCUUGCUGACCGAUAGUGAACCAGUACCGUGAGGGAAAGGUGAAAAGCACCCCGACGAGGGGAGUGAAACAGUACCUGAAACCGAACGCCUACAAUCAGUCGGAGCUUGACUGGACUCUAAUGACAAUCUGGGCCAUGACCUUCUUGUAUAACAAGGAGAUACGAUCAUGGCAGACGGAACCUUCGCAGUGGCACUGCUUCUGCUCGGUCUGACCGACAUGGGGAUGAGCCACUGUGGCACCGAGGCGGGAUGCCUGGGCAAGUCGGCGACGACGCCCCGGGUGGCUUUCUCGGCAGGAGAGGUUCUGGAACGGCGCGCUCAGCCCGCGGCCGAAGUCUACCUGCGCUACUACGAGAUCUGGGUCACAAGAUGGGACCCUUCGGAAGCGCAGUCGGUCUUUCGGUCGGCGAAGCGGGGGAAACAUGGGUUGGCUUCGGCCAGACCUACACGCUUCCCUUCGGCAAGAGUGGCUUCUACGGCGAACUGCAUGCCAUGCCGGGGAUCUACUUCGACAAUGGCGGCUUCGAUCUGGGCGGACCUCUCGAGUUCCGCUCCGGUGUCGAACUGGGCUACGAGACACGCCAGGGAUGGCGGCUCGGCCUCAGCUACGACCACAGGUCGAACGCAGGGAUCUAUGACGACAACCCGGGCAUCGAAACGGUGCAGGUCAGGGUGUCGGUUCCAAUCAGGUGAUUAUCAUUAGUGUCCAGUCUUGUGACGGCGUACCUUUUGUAUAAUGGGUCAUCGACUUGGUCUAUCUAGCAAGCUUAAGCCGAUAGGUGUAGGCGCAGCGAAAGCGAGUCUUAAUAGGGCGUCGAGUUAGAUGGAUCAGACCCGAAACCGAGUGAUCUAGGCAUGACCAGGAUGAAGGUUGGGUAACACCAACUGGAGGUCCGAACCCACACCUGUUGAAAAAGGUCGGGAUGAGUUGUGCCUAGGGGUGAAAGGCCAAUCAAACUCGGAGAUAGCUGGUUCUCCGCGAAAUCUAUUUAGGUAGAGCGUCAUCCGAAUACCCCGGGGGGUAGAGCACUGGAUGGGUAAUGGGGCCCCACAGGCUUACUGAUCCUAACCAAACUCCGAAUACCCGGGAGUACUAGAUGGCAGACACACUGCGGAUGCUAACGUCCGUAGUGGAGAGGGAAACAACCCUGACCUACAGCUAAGGCCCCCAAUUCAUGGCUAAGUGGGAAAGCAGGUGGGACGACCAAAACAACCAGGAGGUUGGCUUAGAAGCAGCCAUCCUUUAAAGAUAGCGUAACAGCUCACUGGUCUAAUCAAGUUGUCCUGCGGCGAAGAUGUAACGGGGCUCAAGCCAUGAGCCGAAGCUUAGGAUGCCGUAAGGCAUGGUAGCGGAGCGUAGUGUGACAUAGUCUCAUGUCUCCUUAGCGGGCUUGCCCGCAUUGGAGACGCGAGGCUUUCUGUGAAGCCGGCCUGUGAGGGAUCCGGUGGAGAGAUCACUAGCGAGAAUGAUGACAUGAGUAGCGACAAAGGGAGUGAGAGACUCCCUCGCCGAAAGUCCAAGGGUUCCUGCUUAAAGCUAAUCUGAGCAGGGUAAGCCGGCCCCUAAGGCGAGGCCGAAAGGCGUAGUCGAUGGGAACCAGGUUAAUAUUCCUGGGCCGUGUGGUGGUGACGGAUCGUGGCGACGCAUGUACCUUAUCGGAUUGGUGCAUGUUCAAGACGGUUCCUGGAAAUAGCCCCACUCUAAGACCGUACCCCAAACCGACACAGGUGGACUGGUAGAGAAUACCAAGGCGCUUGAGAGAACGAUGUUGAAGGAACUCGGCAAAAUACCUCCGUAAGUUCGCGAGAAGGAGGCCCGGUACAUGAGUGCCGGGGGCACAAACCAGGGGGUGGCGACUGUUUAUUAAAAACACAGGGCUCUGCGAAGUCGCAAGACGACGUAUAGGGUCUGACGCCUGCCCGGUGCCUGAAGGUUAAAAGGAGGGGUGCAAGCUCUGAAUUGAAGCCCAGGUAAACGGCGGCCGUAACUAUAACGGUCCUAAGGUAGCGAAAUUCCUUGUCGGGUAAGUUCCGACCUGCACGAAUGGCGUAACGACUUCCCCGCUGUCUCCAACAUCGACUCAGCGAAAUUGAAUUGCCUGUCAAGAUGCAGGCUUCCCGCGGUUAGACGGAAAGACCCCGUGCACCUUCACUACAGCUUCGCACUGGCAUCAGGCACAACAUGUGCAGGAUAGGUGGUAGACUUUGAAACCGUGACGCCAGUCGCGGUGGAGUCAUCCUUGAGAUACCACCCUUGUUCUGCUUGAUGUCUAACCGCGGUCCGUUAUCCGGAUCCGGGACCCUGCGUGGUGGGUAGUUUGACUGGGGCGGUCGCCUCCUAAAGCGUAACGGAGGCGCGCGAAGGUUGGCUCAGAGCGGUCGGAAAUCGCUCGUUGAGUGCAAUGGCAGAAGCCAGCCUGACUGCAAGACUGACAAGUCGAGCAGAGUCGAAAGACGGCCAUAGUGAUCCGGUGGUCCCAAGUGGGAGGGCCAUCGCUCAACGGAUAAAAGGUACGCCGGGGAUAACAGGCUGAUACUGCCCAAGAGUCCAUAUCGACGGCAGUGUUUGGCACCUCGAUGUCGGCUCAUCUCAUCCUGGGGCUGGAGCAGGUCCCAAGGGUAUGGCUGUUCGCCAUUUAAAGAGGUACGUGAGCUGGGUUUAGAACGUCGUGAGACAGUUCGGUCCCUAUCUGCCGUGGGUGUAGGAUACUUGAGAGGAGUUGCCCCUAGUACGAGAGGACCGGGGUGAACGAUCCACUGGUGGACCAGUUGUCGUGCCAACGGCAGUGCUGGGUAGCUAUGAUCGGACAGGAUAACCGCUGAAGGCAUCUAAGCGGGAAGCCCCCCUCAAAACAAGGUAUCCCUGAGGACCGUGGAAGACCACCACGUCGAUAGGCCGGAGAUGUAAGUGCAGCAAUGCAUUCAGUUGACCGGUACUAAUGGUCCGAUAGGCUUGAUUUGAUCCAG
Molecule: ribosomal RNA, 3427 nt
Rfam family: Bacterial large subunit ribosomal RNA